UCGUAGUUCGUGGUAACAAUUUCAAAGUCGGUGAAUUGCUUUUAACAAAAGUUUAAAUGAAAAGGGCACAAAGGGGCAAAAAUCUGAAUGGGAUUGUUAGUUAUUUUUUUUCUUUUUUUUGAAAUUUUAAGUCAAUAUGAUUAAAUUUAUUUACAAAUUUGAUUUAAGAAAGAGUUUGAAAAUCCAAUGGCAUAAGGACAAAGUUUCUAUUUAAAAUAAGGUCUAAGUUCG
Molecule: long non-coding RNA, 231 nt
Filed under: Lathyrus oleraceus (garden pea)
Lineage: Eukaryota; Viridiplantae; Streptophyta; Magnoliopsida; Fabales; Fabaceae
Description: Pisum sativum (pea) long non-coding RNA (PSAT_LNC006254)
Source: RNAcentral